UACGUAGGGUGCAAGCGUUAAUCGGAAUUACUGGGCGUAAAGCGUGCGCAGGCGGUGAUGUAAGACAGAUGUGAAAUCCCCGGGCUCAACCUGGGAACUGCAUUUGUGACUGCAUCGCUAGAGUACGGCAGAGGGGGGGAUAGAAUUCCACGUGUAGCAGUGAAAUGCGUAGAGAUGUGGAGGAACACCGAUGGCGAAGGCAGCCCCCUGGGUCGAAAACAUGACGCUCAUGC
This 233-nucleotide ribosomal RNA is filed under the name uncultured bacterium. RNAcentral's name for it is "partial 16S ribosomal RNA". It matches the Rfam family "Bacterial small subunit ribosomal RNA", at positions 524 to 752 of the family's 1533-position model. The record is from RNAcentral.